Pteropus alecto (black flying fox) is the source of this 81-nucleotide non-coding RNA. The record is from Rfam. NCBI's taxonomy places the organism in Eukaryota, Metazoa, Chordata, Mammalia, Chiroptera, Pteropodidae.
GCAGUGCCUUAGCAGCACGUAAAUAUUGGCGUUAAGAUUUUUAAAUUAUCUCCAGUAUUAACUGUGCUGCUGAAGUAAGGU